UACGAAGGGGGCUAGCGUUGCUCGGAAUCACUGGGCGUAAAGGGUGCGUAGGCGGGUCUUUAAGUCAGGGGUGAAAUCCUGGAGCUCAACUCCAGAACUGCCUUUGAUACUGAAGAUCUUGAGUUCGGGAGAGGUGAGUGGAACUGCGAGUGUAGAGGUGAAAUUCGUAGAUAUUCGCAAGAACACCAGUGGCGAAGGCGGGUCUCUGGGCCGUAACUGACGCUGAGGCGCGAAAGCGUGGGGAGCAAACAGG
RNAcentral lists this ribosomal RNA (253 nucleotides) under uncultured bacterium. RNAcentral's name for it is "partial 16S ribosomal RNA". It matches the Rfam family "Bacterial small subunit ribosomal RNA", at positions 524 to 776 of the family's 1533-position model. The record is from RNAcentral.